UGGCACAGUGAAUCCACAGCAUAGAGAAGAGCAGCAGGAGACACACACAAAACAGAACAUACACCAUUUUCAUAAUGAGAAAUGACUAGAUGGAGAAAAACUACCUACAAUCUCUGGAGGAGAGGAGACACGGAGCCACCAAGAAGUGAGCAGAUUUUCUCCACCAUAAUGUACCUGUUAUGAUGCUCUGCCUCACCACAGACCAAAAUGCGACCUCAUUAAGGCCACAGGACCAUGGACUGAAACUGAAAGGUACUCCAGCCUUUUAGAGGGGAAGUCUGAGAAGCUCUGAAACUUGAGGUGCCUACAAAGACAACUCAGCUGUUGUUGCCAAGGAACUAACAUGUCUGAGUUCUGGUAUCAGUAUCACUGGCUCCUGCUCAAAUAGCACAAACGAAAGAUGUAAAGUCAUUAGAGAAAAAGAACAGUUUGGUUUGAUCACUUGCACUGAGGUAAGCAUUCUGCCAUAUUCUGAGCAACUUUAAGGGAAUACCUACGUUGUGUGGUGAGGAACCGAGGGCCUCAGACCAACAAUGCAGAGAAACUGAAGCCUGCUAACAACCAGGUGCUGCUGAUCUAGAAGUCUUAAUUCCAAAAAGAAAAAUGCUUCCUCCAGGCACAUAACAAUGGGUCCACUGAAUUAAAGGCUGAGACUGUCACCUGACCAUUUUGGGCUCCUAAUGCUAUUGAGUCAACAGUUAGAUUGGACCACAAGAAUGAGUCUCAUGGAUGAUUUGGAUGGUGUAAAUGAAGCAACAGCCAUUGGGUAGCUCACAUACUUGGUUUGCUGCCUCUUCUUGCUGAUGUGAACUGUGGCUAGGACUAGAACUACUCUACCUUCUCCUCAAUCUUCCUGAGCCUCUGUGACUUCUACACCAGGAAACGAGAGUGGAGAGAGAGAGAGAGAGAACUGACACAGGUUUUAGGCUGUCCUCAUUGACUCACUGCCUCCAGUUUGUGCCUGGGAGUUCUAGUUUGUUCUUGCUCUUCCUGUUUUACAUCCUGACCACUUGCCUCAAGAACUUCAAGGUCCAGCAUUAGAUGCAAUCACAAUAGCUUUAUGGAGACUGUUCAGUAAACAACCACAACUGCAUAAGUCCUCAUCAUCACCCAACAAGGGAGGUACUAUUGUCUUUGUUUAAUGGAUGAAGACACUAAACCUGCAAGGGUAAGAGUCUUGCCACAAGUGGGUCACAAAUCUAAGAAGUGGAUCACAUAUCUAAGAAGUGGAUCACAUAUAGAUUGUAAAGGCAGAGACACAGAGGGAGAGCACUAUGUGAUGUUGAAAGCAGAGAUUGGAGUUAUGCAGUUUUGAGACAAAGUGAAAGGGGAGUAAAAAGCAACCAGAGAAAAGAAGCAGAUGGGGAAACCGCUUGUGAGAAUGCCUUGUUCUGCAAAACCUUAUCACAGGGGCAGCAAGGGGAGCUGCCUUCUAUGUGACCUUACCUGAGUAGUUCCCAAAUCCUUGUUCUUGGACAUGGGAGGGCUGGAUGCCCAAAAAUCUCCUGAGGAACAUGAAUUACAAAACCCAAGAAAAACAGAACCCCUGGCUUCACUCUGAUUUGGAGGGAUAAAGUGGGGUGUAGCAG
This 1589-nucleotide long non-coding RNA is filed under the name Heterocephalus glaber (naked mole-rat). RNAcentral's name for it is "lncRNA (ENSHGLG00100034352.1)". The record is from RNAcentral. Lineage: Eukaryota; Metazoa; Chordata; Mammalia; Rodentia; Bathyergidae.